CACUGAAUCUCUGUUUUUAGAACCUGAUUCUAAAGAUCAACAACCAUUAAUGAGAACAGGGAAGAACACACAGUGGAAGCGGUGGCCAUUUUGUGCUAAGCCAGUAUUCAUGAGGGCACCACCUACUCAUUGCCGCUCCUGGCUCCGACUGACAUACUCACAUAGAUAUUGGCCCUGGACCAGAAAAUGGCUGCCUCCACGUUUACUCUUUCUUAAAGUGGUAUAAUCUGAGCAGAAAGCUGCACACAGUUUUCAUCUGCUCACACAUUUCCAUGGACCAUAUUUUAUAAAGCGGCAAAAGAAGAACGUCACAAUUAUUGUAACCCGAGAUCUUGCAAGUGGCUGCCACAUGGCCGACUUCUGGUGAAUUACCGUCACCGGGAGACUGGCAGAAAAAGAUAAUCUACACAAAUUCAAACUAGUAUCUCAAUGACAACAUAAUGGCCAAACAGUACAACUUCACAUAACUCCUGACAUCUCAUCCUGGGCUCUUUGGUCCAUCUCUAUAAAUUGACCCCUCUUCCUUGGCACGGUCAGGGCCCGGCUGGAUGAAGCUUGGUUUGUGUAUAUUAUUUACUAUGAAAUGCCAGCCUCUGUUGGCUCCAGCGCCAGGACGAGACGUCACAUGAAAACUACCUGGACUUUGCUUUUCUUUGGCUGUUACUGCCUAUAUCAAAGUUCACAGUGAUAUUCCCUAUUCACCGGAGAGGUAAUUCUGUGAUGUUACACACAGGUCAAUGUGAUCUAGUUACAUAAUUGCAGAUUAUUUCCAGGCCUCGUCAGAUGAAUGAUUGAUGAUUGCCUUUACCUCUGCUAGCAAGCUGCGGACUCUUUAUAAAGGAAUAAUUGUG
This is a long non-coding RNA of Pseudophryne corroboree (corroboree frog), 851 nucleotides long. RefSeq lists it as uncharacterized. The transcript is spliced from 3 exons. NCBI's taxonomy places the organism in Eukaryota, Metazoa, Chordata, Amphibia, Anura, Myobatrachidae. The record is from RefSeq and is a predicted model, not a curated record.